Molecule: long non-coding RNA, 762 nt
Organism: Asterias rubens (European starfish)
Lineage: Eukaryota; Metazoa; Echinodermata; Asteroidea; Forcipulatida; Asteriidae
Exons: 4
Source: RefSeq, a predicted model, not a curated record
UAUUAGUUUGCAGAGUGAAAGGAAAACCAUGCACUUACAAGGCACAUUUGCCUUAUCCAAGGCAUUGUGUUCUAUUAAGCCUCAAAUAGUCAAUGGCACAAGUUUGAUAAAACUGCUCUUGUGACCCUUUGCCAUUUUGUUAAGUUUUAGACAUAAAUUUGAUAAAUUUGCUGGACCUUCCCCCUGUGAAUUUUAGUUUUGGGCUCAAAUUGGCUAAAACUGCUAGUCUUAUCCCUUGUGUUUUUUAAACUGUAGGCCAAAUUUGAUAAAACUGCUGGACUCGCCACUUGUGAUUGUUCAAUUUGAGGCUAAAAUUCAGUAAACCUGCUGGACUUUAUACCCCUUGCUAUUUUAAAAUUUUAGAUGCAAACUUAUUUUUUUCUUUUAAAUGUUUUUCUUUGUAGUGUCAUGAAGACUUCAAGAGAUCACCAGUUACAAGCUCAUAUGAAUCUGAAUAUGAUGUAGGCCUAUACCUAAGAAGUGUUUGUCAGCCACCAUUAUGAAGAUGUCGAAAGAUCACCAGUAACAAGCUCAUAAUGAUCUGAAUAUGGUAAAGGCCUAUAACUUAAAAGUGUCAUGAAGACUUCAAGAGAUCACCAGUUACAAGCUCAUCUGAAUCUGAAUAUGAUGUAGGCCUGUACCUAAGAAGUGUUUGUCAGCCACCAUUAUGAAGAUGUCGAAAGAUCACCAGUAACAAGCUCAUAAUGAUCUGAAUAUGGUAAAGGCUUAUAACUUAAAAGGUAAUACAUAUCUGAACGAUUG